UACGUAGGGGGCGAGCGUUGUCCGGAUUUAUUGGGCGUAAAGAGCUCGUAGGCGGUUCGAUAAGUCGGACGUGAAAUCUCCACGCUCAACGUGGAGGGGCCGUUCGAUACUGUCGUGACUCGAGUCCGGUAGGGGAGUGUGGAAUUCCCGGUGUAGCGGUGAAAUGCGCAGAGAUCGGGAGGAACACCCGUAGCGAAGGCGGCUCACUGGGCUGACCUUGACGCUGAGGCGCGAAGGCGUGGGGAGCGAACGGG
RNAcentral lists this ribosomal RNA (254 nucleotides) under uncultured bacterium. RNAcentral describes it as "partial 16S ribosomal RNA". It matches the Rfam family "Bacterial small subunit ribosomal RNA", at positions 524 to 776 of the family's 1533-position model. The record is from RNAcentral.